GAUGAACGCUGGCGGCGUGCUUAACACAUGCAAGUCGAACGGAAAGGCCCAAGCUUGCUUGGGUACUCGAGUGGCGAACGGGUGAGUAACACGUGGGUGAUCUGCCCUGCACUUCGGGAUAAGCCUGGGAAACUGGGUCUAAUACCGGAUAGGACCACUUCUUGGAUGUUGUGGUGGAAAGGUUUUCGGUGUGGGAUGAGCUCGCGGCCUAUCAGCUUGUUGGUGGGGUAAUGGCCUACCAAGGCGUCGACGGGUAGCCGGCCUGAGAGGGUGUACGGCCACAUUGGGACUGAGAUACGGCCCAGACUCCUACGGGAGGCAGCAGUGGGGAAUAUUGCACAAUGGGCGCAAGCCUGAUGCAGCGACGCCGCGGGGGGGAUGACGGCCUUCGGGUUGUAAACUCCUUUCGCUAGGGACGAAGCUUAUUUUGUGACGGUACCUGGAGAAGAAGCACCGGCUAACUACGUG
RNAcentral lists this ribosomal RNA (468 nucleotides) under uncultured bacterium. Its description in RNAcentral is "partial 16S ribosomal RNA". It matches the Rfam family "Bacterial small subunit ribosomal RNA", at positions 28 to 507 of the family's 1533-position model. The record is from RNAcentral.